RNAcentral lists this ribosomal RNA (536 nucleotides) under Lancefieldella parvula. RNAcentral describes it as "bacterial SSU rRNA". It matches the Rfam family "Bacterial small subunit ribosomal RNA", at positions 371 to 922 of the family's 1533-position model. The record is from RNAcentral. Lineage: Bacteria; Bacillati; Actinomycetota; Coriobacteriia; Coriobacteriales; Atopobiaceae.
AUGGGCGAAAGCUGAUGCAGCGACGCCGCGUGCGGGAUGAACGCCUUCGGGUUGUAAACCGCUUUCAGCAGGGACGACGCGAAAGUGACGGUACCUGCAGAAGAAGCCCCGGCUAACUACGUGCCAGCAGCCGCGGUAAUACGUAGGGGGCAAGCGUUAUCCGGAUUCAUUGGGCGUAAAGCGCUCGUAGGCGGUCUGUUAGGUCGGGAGUUAAAUCCGGGGGCUCAACCCCCGUUCGCUCCCGAUACCGGCAGACUUGAGUUUGGUAGGGGAAGGUGGAAUUCCUAGUGUAGCGGUGGAAUGCGCAGAUAUUAGGAAAGAACACCAGUGGCGAAGGCGGCCUUCUGGGCCAUAACUGACGCUGAGGAGCGAAAGCUAGGGGAGCAAACAGGACUAGAUACCCUGGUAGUCCUAGCCGUAAACGAUGGACACUAGGUGUGGGGGAAUAUUUCUUCCGUGCCGCAGCUAACGCAUUAAGUGUUCCGCCUGGGGAGUACGGCCGCAAGGCUAAAACUCAAAGGAAUUGACGGGGGCCC